UCCUGGUAAUGAUGUUAAAACAUCAGUAAAGUGUUCAUUAGACAUAAGUGAACAUGGGAUUUGUAAAUUAAACCAUUAUUUGCUAAACCUGAACCUGACAUUUGAUAAAACUGACUGAAAAAGAAUAAGUGAGGCCGAAAGACAUCUUUGAACUAUCAGACGCGAGUUGAUGUUUUGAUGGAUGAAACUUUUUUGAUUUUGAAUCACUGAUUUGUCUGAAUCUGUUGAGAAAACAGCAGCGUCUGUGGAAGAAAAAACAUUUAAUGUAAACUGAAUAUUUUCCCGGUUGUGAAAAGCCGUUUGGCUUCACUUUGCAUUAGCUUUGUGGCUCUUUGGUUCACCAGGAAUCAUUAAAGGACCUGUUGACUACGUUUCCUCUUGAAACAGAGCUGCAGAGCAUCUGGACCGACGUCAAGAACUUUGGAGACCCGAGGCGCGAUCGUAAAAGCCGUCAGCUCUCUGUGACUGCGCGUCCAAUCAGCAGGAGCUCUGCAGAGCCCUCCACUUGUAAUUGGAUGGAGACGGGAGCGGAAUAUGCAGCCUUGGCACAACGUAAACACACGCUCGUCUGCUUCGCGCUACAGAGGACGCGCCGGAUGGAGCGGACGGACUGAGCCAAGCCGCUGGGAGGAGGCAGAGGUUUUAAAGUUUAUGUCAUGAUAGAGUGAGAUAGGAUUUCAGAGCGUCAACGUGAGAUUUAAAAGAACAGGAGUGCGCGGUGCACAGUGGUCCCUCAGACUGGCGCGGAUCGUAGGUGCUUCUUAGCGUCAGAUCCGUGGAUUACGCACCGCGGAGCGCCUGGGACAGAGAAAACUUUUCCAAAGUACCCGUUUUUGCGCAGGGAUGCGCGGCGGCGUGUUUCCCCCCGCACAAGUCUAAACAAGUUGCAGCAACGACAUUUUUAAGCCAAGUCUCAAUGGAUUGAUUUUCACGCUUUUCUACAAUUGCGCAAACAUUUGACUCAUGCGUAUGAACCGUGCAUGUGUUUAUGGAUUAGAACACGACACACUGGAACUUUGAUCGAACGCCAGGAGACAGAAAA
RNAcentral lists this long non-coding RNA (1042 nucleotides) under Betta splendens (Siamese fighting fish). RNAcentral's name for it is "lncRNA (ENSBSLG00000013113.1)". Lineage: Eukaryota; Metazoa; Chordata; Actinopteri; Anabantiformes; Osphronemidae. The record is from RNAcentral.